UCCGUAGGGUGAACCUGCGGAAGGAUCAUUACUGUGAUUUACUACUACACUGCGUGAGCGGAACGAAAACAACAACACCUAAAAUGUGGAAUAUAGCAUAUAGUCGACAAGAGAAAUCUACGAAAAAACAAACAAAACUUUCAACAACGGAUCUCUUGGUUCUCGCAUCGAUGAAGAGCGCAGCGAAAUGCGAUACCUAGUGUGAAUUGCAGCCAUCGUGAAUCAUCGAGUUAAUGAACGCACAUUGCACCCCUCGGCAUUCCGGGGGGCAUGCCUGUUUGAGCGUCGUUUCCAUCUUGCGCGUGCGCAGAGUUGGGGGAGCGGAACGGACGACGUGUAAAGAGCGUCGGAGCUGCGACUCGCCUGAAANGGAGCGAAGCUGGCCGAGCGAACUAGACUUUUUUUCAGGGACGCUUGGCGGCCGAGAGCGAGUGUUGCGAGACAACAAAAAGCUCGACCUCAAAUCAGGUAGGAAUACC
Molecule: ribosomal RNA, 479 nt
Filed under: Pichia kudriavzevii
Lineage: Eukaryota; Fungi; Ascomycota; Pichiomycetes; Pichiales; Pichiaceae
Description: eukaryotic LSU rRNA
Rfam family: 5.8S ribosomal RNA (bases 136-288)
Source: RNAcentral